UAAAUACUUUCACUAUAGAAAAAUAGUGGAAAAUGGCCUAUUUGCAACCAAACUAUCUCAGCAUUUGGUCUCGGAGAUGUCACACCGAAAAUCAACAUUACUUUAGUCUGCUGAAGAUCAAUAGGAGAUGGAAAAAUUCAGUUGAGAAGGCAAGAAUCACAAAGUUGAAAAGGCCUUCUGGAGAAGAAAGAAGGGUCGUUUGGAAGGUACAUUGUCGGUCUACUUCGAAUUCAUCAUCAGUCAAUGAAGUGGAGCUGGCUGCAGGGCAGCUGGAAGUUGAAGGAAACACAUGCUAUUUAUAUAAUAGAAGAGAUGGAUUUGGUUCUUUAUUGAGUGAGCAUGGAUGGCAUAUAAGGAGGAUGGUGGAGACAGAUGAAGAGAUGAGGAAAGUUGCCGGAGUUCAGGCUGAAGCAUUCCAUGAGCCAGUGGUUUUGUUCAAUGACUUUUUCUUUGCAUUCUUCCAGGUUUUUACUCCACUAAUUUUGGUUAUCUGUUGUUUUAUUCACCUUUUCAAGGAGGAAAAUCACAGAAAACGAAGUACUGCAUGACUCAAAUCAUUAGCCUAGGUGAAUCUUUUGCUCUCCAAUUUUAGCAUUAAUCAUCUUGCUGUAAGUUCUACAGAAAGAAUGUUGCCAUUUUCUAUGUGUAAUUCUACAGUUGAGAUGAUACUAAAUUCUCAGUCAAUUCUAGAAAAAAUUGCAAUUGACUUGACGAUACAUUCAUGCAAUUCUGCUUCUGAUAGAUGUACAGCAGAAGCAGACUUCUCAGUUCCAUUGUUCAUGUUGGUACCCCAUUAGCUCCUCUGACUAUUGUAUAAUCGAUUAAUGACAGGCCGAAGUGCUUUCAGGACUCUUGUACAGACUCAGAAACUCACCACCAGACAGGUAAAAUGUGAGUAGUAAUAAUAAGAUAAACAUUAUGGGUAUGGCUAGGCUGGGCUAAGCUGGCAUUUCUUCUAUCACUAAUGGAUUUAAAGAUGCAUACAACGAACUAUUGGAAUGCAUGAGCAUUCCCGGACUUGGUAAAUUUGAGCUUCAUAUUAACAUUCAAGAUUACAUAGUCAGAGUUUCCCAUAUAAGUUAUCUUACUUUUCAUUGGUUUGGUUUCAUUACCAGGUAUGCCUGUCUAGUUGCCGAGCCUUCAAGGGAUUCCUCUGGCUCUAACAUGGAUGAUCUCGUUGGCGUUGUUGAUGUCACCGUUUCGAGGGAUGAUGAUGUCCUUCAGUACAUCUCAGGAGCAGAUGAAUAUCUUUAUGUUUCUGGCAUAGCCGUCUUAAACAAUUUCAGGUUAAUAACUGCAGAGCACCUUGAUAUCCAAUCCAACAAUCACUUGAUAUUUUGAUAAUUAGGAGAAUAUAAUUAGAAAUUAUGCAUAAUUUACAGGAGGAAAAAAGUUGCAACUGCUUUGCUGAAAGCCUGUGACAGGCUUUGCAACCUUUGGGGCUUUGAAUAUCUUGUCCUGCGGGCUUAUGAAGAUGACUGGGGCGCCCGAGAACUGUACUCGAAUGCAGGUUAUAGAGUUGUCUCGGGAGAUCCUGCUUGGUUGACUACCUGGGUUGGUCGAAGGCGGCGGGUUCUUAUGAUUAAAGAGUGUGAUAAUACUUAAAAAGCAGAUUGAUUGAGCCCUUGAAUGAUCAAAUACCAUAACCAUUGGGAUCUGCUACUCAUUCAAUGACUGAUCUGGUCUUGGCUAUUAAAAGAUUGAAAUCAGAAUCGAUGAAUUAGAGAAGUUUGCUGACCCUCAAGAAGAAUUGUUAAGCAGGAAGAGUUCCACAGACAGCAAAAACGCACAAUCAAUUUUCUUGGCUGUUUUAUUAGGUGCAUAAGAAAAUUAGUUUAAACAGACUAUAGACUCGACAACCUGCAUUUUAGUGACUUGAGCUGCUUCCAGCUAAAAGGGCAAUAACAGUUUGAGCACCAUCCUGCAGUCAAUAUUUGAUCUCCAUUACAAGAUUUCUUCGAUUUCUUUGGCUGGUGGACGGGAUCAGGCUGAUCAAUUUACAUGUCUUGAGAAAUUAGAAUUGCAGCAGUAUUCGAAAUCAAAAGAAAUCCCUUCUUGUUUAAGGUCUAAUUCGACUCUUGAAAUCAUUUGACAUUCGCUGGAGUCCUCUCUCAGCUGUAAGUUUGGUAGAGAAGACUAUGGAAGAACAGGAGAUUGUUACC
This 2162-nucleotide long non-coding RNA is filed under the name Coffea arabica (coffee). RNAcentral's name for it is "long non-coding RNA (CARA_LNC007097)". Lineage: Eukaryota; Viridiplantae; Streptophyta; Magnoliopsida; Gentianales; Rubiaceae. The record is from RNAcentral.